RNAcentral lists this signal recognition particle RNA (310 nucleotides) under Chinchilla lanigera (long-tailed chinchilla). RNAcentral's name for it is "Metazoan signal recognition particle RNA (ENSCLAG00000021453.1)". It matches the Rfam family "Metazoan signal recognition particle RNA". Rfam says of the family: The signal recognition particle (SRP) is a universally conserved ribonucleoprotein. The record is from RNAcentral. Lineage: Eukaryota; Metazoa; Chordata; Mammalia; Rodentia; Chinchillidae.
GCCGGGCGUGGUGGCGCGCGCCUGUAGUCCCAGCUACUCGGGAGGCUGAGGUGGGAGGAUCGCUUGAGUCCAGGAGUUCUGGGCUGCAGUGCGCUAUGCCGAUCGGGUGUCCACACUAAGUUCGGCAUCAAUAUGGUGACCUCCCGGGAGCGGGGGACCACCAGGUUGCCUAAGGAGGGGUGAACCGGCCCAGGUCGGAAACGGAGCAGGUCAAUAAUAGAAAAGAGAUCUGCAAAAAUAAUAUAGACAAGAAGACAAAUCAAAUAUUGGUAUACAAUAGAUACCUACUAAAUAGAAUAACUACACCUCU